AUUUUUUAGUAGAGAUGGAGUUUCACCGUGUUAGCCAGGAUGGUCUCGAUCUCCUGACCUUGUGAUCCGCCUGUCUCGGCCCCCCAAAGUGCUGGGAUUACAGGCUUGAGCCACCACGCCCAGCCAUUUUUUUUUUUUUUUUUUUUUAAGCUGUAGAGUCAUUUUCCACAAAAGGAUUCCACAAAAUCCAAGCAAAAUCUUAUGGAAAAGCCUAAGAGAAAGAAAAGCAAAACUUUGGCUGAAAUGAGGAAGAUGGUUUGGGGCAACCUAGAGCUCUCUGCAGACGCAUUCACGUUGAGACUAUGCUGGGAUGGAGGGUUCUGUCAGGUUCCGACCAGAUCACUGAAGGCCAUCAGCAUUACAGUCACCCCUCGGUAUAUGAAGGGAGUUGGCUCCAGGACCCCAACUUGUACUGUGAAUACUCAAGUCCCACUGUUGGCCCUGUGGAACCUGCAGAUACUAAAAGUCGACCCUCUGUAUAUGUGGGUUUUUGGAUCCACGUUGGAUUGAAAAAAUCCCCAAAUCCCCAUAUAAGUGGACUUACACAAUUCAAACGUGUGGUUCAAGGGUCAGCUGUAUGAAGACUGCUCCAUGUGUGGUGGACAGUGAGGCUUUAGAAAGAGAAGAUAGGCAGGCUACUGGAUAGUCUUCAUGGGUGUGGGCAAGGAGUGGUCACUGCACGCAGGCAGUUGGUCUGUGGGACCAGUGAGGCAUGGGCUGUGGCUGGCAGUAGGAAAGUGGGAGAGGCUGAGUGCAGUGGCUCAUGCCUGUAAUCCCAGCACUUUGGGAAGCCAAGGCAAGAGGCUUGAGCCUGGGAGGUCGAGGCUGUAGUAAGCCAUAAUCGUGCCACUGCACUCCAGGCUGGGCGACAGAACACGACCUUAUCUCAAAAACAACAAAACAAAAAUGGGGAGAGGAAAGGACCCAAGAGAUGUUCCAAAAAAGCAUUUCAGGAAACAAUGAAGAGUUGCAAAUGGGGCAUCAGGAGCAGAGAUUAGGUGGCAGGCAGGGGGUGCAG
Molecule: long non-coding RNA, 1018 nt
Filed under: Piliocolobus tephrosceles (Ugandan red Colobus)
Lineage: Eukaryota; Metazoa; Chordata; Mammalia; Primates; Cercopithecidae
Description: lncRNA (ENSPTEG00000038572.1)
Source: RNAcentral